UACAUGAGUAACUAACGUUAGUCCCAAUAGUUAGGUGUAAAAAAUAUUUAGAUCGUAUAAUAAAUUAUAUAAAUUAUAUAAAUUAUAUAAAAAAUAUUAAUAUUUAAUUAUAAUCAACAAUAUUAUUGGUUUAUAAAGAUAAAAUUUUUAUUUACCAUAUAUAAUCGAUAUAUGAAAAUUUUUUAAAAUUAAUAUUUGUUAUUUAGAUAUGAAAGUAUAGGAGGUGAAAAGGAUUAGAGACCCUUGUAAUCUAUACAUUAAAAUAUGAGUAUUUAUAGUUUAUACUAUUAAUUUAACGAGUAAUUACUCUACCAGGGUGUAAAAUCGCAAGGUUGAAACUUAAAAAUAUUGGCGGGAUUUAGUCAGAUGGUGGGACAUGUGAUUUAAUUCGGUAAUCCUCGCAAAAUCUUACUAAUAUGAGUAAAAAUAAUAUAUAAAAAAAAAUUUUUUAUAUAAAUUUUUAUUUGGCACUGCAUGGCUGUCGUCAGUUCGAAGUUGUAAAAUUUAAAAUUGAGUUUUAUUCUCGAACGCAACUCUAACUUUACUUUGUGUAAAGAACAAAAUAUAAUUUAUAUUUUUGUCUUGUUAGAAUAACGUCAAGUCUUUAUGAUCUUAGAAUAUUAGGCUAUACAUUUGUCACAAUGGUAAAAACAAUAAGUUUUUUAUUUUUAACAAAAAAAAAUCUAUAAAAAUUACCUUAGUUCGAAUUAAUUUAUGGAACUCUAAAUUAUGAAGAAGGAAUCAUUAGUAAUCGUAAAAUAGUACGUUACGGUGAAAUGGUUUACACUAAAUUUGUACACACCGCCCAUCACGCUCGGAGCGUUUUAAUUAUUAAAGUAGGCGAGUUUAAGUUUAUUUUAUUAAAAAUUAAAAAAUUAUUUUUUUUUUUUUAAAACCUAAUUAAAUAAUUAAAGUUAUUUGAGUGAAG
RNAcentral lists this ribosomal RNA (928 nucleotides) under Odontochlamys alpestris biciliata. RNAcentral describes it as "partial small subunit ribosomal RNA". The stretch from base 1 to 825 matches the Rfam family "Bacterial small subunit ribosomal RNA", at positions 524 to 1533 of the family's 1533-position model. Lineage: Eukaryota; Ciliophora; Phyllopharyngea; Chlamydodontida; Chlamydodontidae. The record is from RNAcentral.